Molecule: ribosomal RNA, 460 nt
Filed under: uncultured bacterium
Lineage: Bacteria
Description: partial 16S ribosomal RNA
Rfam family: Bacterial small subunit ribosomal RNA
Source: RNAcentral
CCUACGGGAGGCAGCAGUGAGGAAUAUUGGUCAAUGGGCGCGAGCCUGAACCAGCCAAGUAGCGUGAGGGAUGAAUGCCCUACGGGUUGUAAACUUCUUUUAUAAAGGAAUAAAGUGAGGCACGUGUGCCUUUUUGUAUGUACUUUAUGAAUAAGGAUCGGCUAACUCCGUGCCAGCAGCCGCGGUAAUACGGAGGAUCCGAGCGUUAUCCGGAUUUAUUGGGUUUAAAGGGUGCGUAGAUGGGUUGUUAAGUCAGUGGUGAAAGUUUGCGGCUCAACCGUAAAAUUGCAAUUGAUACUGGCAGCCUUGAGUACAUUUGAGGUAGGCGGAAUGCGUGGUGUAGCGGUGAAAUGCUUAGAUAUCACGAAGAACUCCGAUUGCGAAGGCAGCUUACCAAGCCGUCACUGACGCUGAUGCACGAAAGUGUGGGGAUCAAACAGGAUUAGAUACCCCGGUAGUC